AGGGUGGGCAGGUUCCCUGAGGAUGCAGGUGAGGUCAGGGUGGAGGAUGGGCAGGUUCCCUGAGGAUGCAGGGAGGGUGGGGUGGAGGGUGGGCAGGUUCCCUGACCCUGUACACAGUACUGAGGCAGGCCUCUCUGUCACCCAGCCCCCAGCUCCCAGCCUGCAGCCGGGUACCUGACUCGGAGGGUUCCGCAGAGCAGGCAGGCUGACCGCAAGGCCUCAUAGUGCGUUAGUCUCUUAGGGAUGCUGCUACCAAUGACGGCAAAUGGCGAGGCCUCCUGGGGUCAGGCCAAAACCAGCCUCCCUGCCGAAAUCAAAGUGUCGAUGGGGCUCUGCUCCUCUGGAGGCCCCAGGAGAAUCGGUUCCCUGCUUCACCCCUUGCCGUGGCCGCCGACACCCCUUGGCUUGUGGCUGCGUCACUCCAGUCUCUGCCUCUGUCGCCACACUGCUCUCUCCUCCUCUGUGUCAAAUCCCCUUCUCAUGAGGAUGCAAGUGACUGCAUUUAGGGCCCACCUGGGAUAAUCUGGGAUUACCCCCAUCUCAACAUCCUCAACCAAAUCUUCAAGAUCCUUUCCUGCCACAUUGAGUCAGCCACAGAUUCCAGGGUUGAGGUCCUGAUACCUUUGGGGCAUGUUGGACCCACUGUGCUAGGUGAGGAUGGAAACGAGGCAGCCCAGGUGACAGGCAGUGGUGAUGGGGGCACUGUCUGGGGGCACCCUUGGAGGGCCUGCUCGUGUCUCCCUCCAUUCCCAAAGUGGGGUCCCUCAAACCCACACAAAAGGGAGGUAGAAUGGGAGGAAGAGUGGAGCAACCAGGGAGCUUGGGCCCCUAGGUGGUGCUGGCAGCCCACGGCCCCAGAUGGGGAGGAUUUGAACCCACGAACAUCAGAGCCACGAGGCCUCCAAGGAGGGGAUACAGGACACAGUCACGUCGGGACUUUGGACAUAUAUCAAAUAAUUGUUUAGUGUAAAAUAUUUGGGGCAUAUUUACACAAAAGUGGUACUCCUUAUUUAUCUAAAAUUCUGAUCUGACUGGGUGUCCUGUGUUUUACCUGGUGGCCCUGCCCAAGGACACAGGUGUUCCUGAUGGACCCCGGCCCAUCCUGGGCCUCUGUGGGGCCACAUAGAUGGGAGGGGCCUAGUGGGACCUGCAGGGCCUGUCUGGAAGGAAGUUGUCCUUUCACACGUGAUCUGGCUAGAACUGGGGCCAAAUGGGAGAAAUUUGCCAGCCUGAGAUGGGACAAAAGUGAAAAACAGCCCCCAGCUGGAGUUGCAGGAAUCCCCCUUGGGUGGUCCCUGAGGUGCUCAGGGGUCCCCUCACCCCCAUGUCCCAGUUGCAGUUGCUAACUCUGGAUGACUCUGGCAGCCUUGGUCACCCAGGCACUGCUGGUGGGGGGCAAGCCCAGCCUGACUGCCAUGGUCUGUGCUGGGGCCACAGUGCCCCCUCCAGGUGGGUGUGUUUCUGGGGUGGGGAGGAGCACAGGGAGGGCAGAGAGAUGGGAGCACUCCCUGUUCCCACUGGGGUCCCCAGCAGAUGAGAGUCCUGGCAGUGUUAGCCUGGAGGGUGGGUCUCCAGGGAGGGUCUGUGACCUCGGCUCCCCUUCUGGGGUAAUGAAGUCAGGCCCAAGUCCUUGGGUCUGAUGCCUGGCAGGGCUCCGGGCCUUGCUGCGCCCCUUGUGCUCAGGUAGGGGGCUGUGGGGUGGGGACCGGCAGUGGCUGGAGGAGGCCAGGAUCUGGGACUGGGCUCCUGGUGUCCAUCGUGGGUGGGGGCAGCACACACAGGGUGCCAGGAUUGCCCUGCUGGAUGCCGGACAAGGGAUACCCUGUGUCCAGCCCACUGUCAGCUCUGGGGAGGGCAGGGGCUUGGCCAAAGCUGCCCUGGGGUCCCCAGCCGUCGGUCUCUGGGGAGUUCUGGUGCCACCCACACCGAGGGCAGAGGAGCUUCUGGCAGGUGAGAGACCCACCGAGGGCAGGAGGAGCUUCUGGCGGGUGAGAGACCCACCGAGGGCAGGAGGAGCUACUGGCGGGUGAGAGACCCAGGGAAGCAAGCUAUGCUCGUUAAUCAGGAAGGGGGGCUGGGGGGACACCGGGCAGAGCUCUGCGUUGCCUCCAGGACAGUAAUGCUCAGAGCUUUCGUGUUAGGACCCUUGCACAGUGUUAAAUGUCAGGGAGGUUGCAUCUGCCACUGUUUGGUGUGCUAGAAACUAAACGUGUGAAUAUUUAAGACACGAGAAAGCAGGGGAGUGUCACACCUCUUAUGGCCUCUGAGAACUCCACUGUCCAAGCGAGGACGGGAGCGAGAAGCCUCGGCAUUAUUGUGAAAACGGGUUUUGACCUUGGGGCUUUCUCGAAGGUUCUCGGGAGCCCCGGGGGCCUGGACCGUGCUUUGUGAACCGAGGCUUUAGGCGGCAGAGCAGCGGGGAAGGCGAGGGGUGGGGUCCCAGCUCUGGCACCUGAGGCCGGGCAAUGGGGCCAGAGAUGCCGCGGUGCCCCUUCUCCAUCGGCGAAAGGGGGUUGUGUGGCACCUGCCCUGAGGGUCGGGCCAGGAUGAAAGGAAACCACGGCCUCACGCGGCCUCUGCGGCUGCCUCUCCAGCUCCCUGAACAGGGGCUGCAGUGGAGGUGUGAGCUCUAGCUGCUCCCUGGGGCCCAGAGGAGGGUGGGUUUUUCCCCAUAGCAGGUGGGGGUAGGGGGGUGGGGAGGGGCAGAGCUCACUGGGGUUGGGAUCAGGACAGAACGCUCCGUGGGUGUCGGCUUGGGGAGCCUGAGGACAGCUGGAGGGCGGUGGCCGGGGUGAGGGCAGGGGACCACAGCCAGACAGUGCCCUGGAGCCCUGCAAGGCUGGGACCGUGCAGCCUCAGGGCCCCAGCGGGGUGUUGAUGGAUGCUUGCAGCUGGCUGGACACCUGGGCUGCUGUCUGGCUGAAGGGGGCUCCAAGGCCCAGAGAGUGGCUCUGACUGGCGGCCACUGGGACUCAGGGUCAGUCCUGGGGCCGCUGAGACCCCAGAGCAGGUCCUGAAGUCAGGGAGGGCAUGGGUGGCGGAAGGAGCUCCACCCUACUUGGGUUGGUGAAUAAUUUUUUUUUUUUUUUUUGAGUCUCGCUCUGUCGCCCAGGCUGGAGUGCAGUGGUGCGAUCUCUGCUCACUGCAAGCUCCGUCUCCUGGGUUCACGCCAUUCUCCUGCCUCAGCCUCCCGAGUAGCUGGGACUACAGGCGCCCGCCACUAUGCCCGGCUAAGUUUUGUAUCUUUGGUAGAGAUGAAGUUUCACUGUGUUAGCCAGGAUGGUCUUGAUCUCCUGAUCUCGUGAUCCGCCCACCUCGGCCUCCCAAGUGCUGGGAUUACAGACGUGGGCCCCCGCGCCCGGCCGGGUUGGUGAAUAAUUUAAAACAGGAUCCACCAAGACACCCUAUUGGCGGCUUCGGUCUGCACUUUGCACAUCACUGAAAAAUUCCUGAGGCCUCGAGAGGCUGUGGGGCCCUGCUGAGUGGCCGAAUGCCAUCUGUCCCUUGCCCUUGUCUCUCCUGGGCUCCCGGUGCCCUCCUGUAACCCAGGCAGGAAGGACCUUCCCACCCCACUGCAGGUUCCCAGCGUGGCUGGAAGGGCCUGGGUGCCCCUGGCAGUCCUGGGUUUGAGCAGCGGCUUCUGGGCUCCCUGCCAAGGGGCUGGGCUUUGCGGCAGCCGGUCAGGCCUCCACAAUGGGACCCCGGGGAUUUCCCAUGUGCUGUGACUGUGGGAAUGACUGUCCUUGUGGGUGACUUAGUGUGUCCCGGAGUGGGGCUGCAGGCACAGGGUUACAUCCAUACCCUGGUGCGUGUGUGUGACCUGGGUGAACUGUGCAUACCUGUAGGUGGCUGUGUGGGGUGCAGGGGAGAACUUGGCGGGGUGUCCUGGAGCCCCUGGAAACGGUCAGGAUGUAUGUGCUCGUGCGUCUGUUCAUUUGUGCCUGCAUGUCUGUGUGUCGGGCAUCUGGCUGUACCUGUGCUGCCGGCUGGCCACCUGGAGUCAGGGCUGAGUCUCUGGGGGUGCCCACCAGGUGGCUGGACUCAGGAAGCACUGGGCAACGGUCCCUGUCCGGAAGCCAGGGAGGGAGAAGGCAGCCCGGGGGACAGGCUGGACUGGCAGGUGCAUGGGCCUUGAGGCAGCUCCUGGCUCUGCUGAGGGGAGAGAAGCCCCGUCCCCAUGAGAGGGUCAACCAGGAGCGUCAGGGGUCUUUGGAGGAGCUGUGAGGUCUGGCUUAUCUCCUGGCUUCAUGCCGCUCUGGCAUCUUCCUUUGGGGGUCGGCUGGGGGAGGUGGGGAAGACCCUGGGGAGGAUGUGUGAGGCUGAGAACAGCUCCAGGAUGGAGAGCAGAUGCAGGUGGGGUCAGCGGCCCCAAAUCAGGGCCCUGGCUUGGUCUGUGGGGGCUCCGAGGCAGGGGCAGGAGGCACCAACACCCAGAGGAGGGGAGAGAGGGUCCGGGCCCUGGAUGGUGUGGGGUGGGAGCAGGAAGGAAGCCGUUGCCCCUGGAUCCCCUGCCCAGACGUGGGGCCUGGUUGCAGGCCUCCUGCUGCAGGACAACAGUUCCUAAGAGCCUGUGGGCCUCCUGCAGGGACAGGACUGGAGCCGUAGGUGUGGCAGGAGGCAGAGCUCCCAGGCAGGACCAGCCUGGAGGGGUUGGAGGGGCAGGAACCCAUGCCCCCUGCCCUGCCCACUCCCUGAACAUGUAGGGGGAAGGAGCCCCAGGCUCUGCCACACAGCCUGUCAUGGGGAGGGGCUGGCAGUUCUGCCCCAGGCUCUGGCUAUGAGGAUCCUGCCAGCCACUGUCUGAAGCCAGGUCAGGCCAAGCCAGCUGCCAGCUGUGGGGUUCCAGGGCUCAGCUGCCUGGGGGGAGGGGGUGAUGCUGAACUGGGCAGUUGGAGGGAAUGGGCGAGGGGGAAGGAGAAAUCCACUGAGUCCCACGGUGGGAGGCUGUAAGAUCUCCUCUCUCCAUUUCCUAGUCUCUGUAAACCUUUUACCCUUCAGGGUGUGGGGAGGAACCUUUAAGUAUAAAAGGUUCCCUGUGGCCCCGCCCUCCCCGGAGGCUGUGGCUGCCUCCAGGGGUGGGGGUUUCUGGCACCUUAGGGGCCUUAACCGCCUCCCACUGCCCUGUCUUUACUCUGCAUCUCCCGACACCCAGGCCUUCAUCUUGGGUGUGAGGCGGGUGGCACACAGCGGGGUGCGGUACCCAUGGGGCAGCCAGGAGCUGACUCAGCAUCUUCACCUUCCCGCUCACGUGACGCCUCCUCCUGCCACCGCUGGAGACUCUUUACAAACCUCGUGCCCUUCCUCCAUCACCACGAUCGAUCGUCUGUCUACGGUCAGCACCCCCACAUCCCAGGUAAAGAGGCGGAGGUGCGGAGAGAGCCUGCAGCUGCCCAGAGCCACACAAACUAAGCUCACGGUGGGAUGCCAGGAAGUGGGAUUAAGCAAAAGGCUGGUCUCCAGGAUGGGGCCAGCUCAUCCCAGCCGCAGGGAUGGACACAUCAUGCUGUCUUCAAUUCAACCAGUGGGAGGAUCUGUGAGAGACCAGGGAAGAGGGGCGUGUCCGAGCCUGGAACUGGACUCACCUGGGCACCUUCCCGCGCGAGACCAGGGAAGAGGGGCGUGUCCCAGCCGGGAACUGGACUCACCUGGGCACCUUCCCGCGAGAGACCAGGGAAGAGGGGCGUGUCCGAGCCGGGAACUGGACUCACCUGGGCACCUUCCCGCAUGAGACCAGGGAAGAGGGGCAUGUCCCAGCCGGGAACUGGACUCACCUGGGCACCUUCCCGCGAGAGACCAGGGAAGAGGGGCGUGUCCGAGCCUGGAACUGGACUCACCUGGGCACCUUCCCGCGAGAGACCAGGGAAGAGGGGCGUGUCCCAGCCGGGAACUGGACUCACCUGGGCACCUUCCCGAGAGAGACCAGGGAAGAGGGGCGUGUCCCAGCCGGGAACUGGACUCACCUGGGCACCUUCCCGAGAGAGACCAGGGAAGAGGGGCGUGUCCCAGCCGGGAACUGGACUCACCUGGGCACCUUCCCGCGCGAGACCAGGGAAGAGGGGCGUGUCCGAGCCGGGAACUGGACUCACCUGGGCACCUUCCCGAGAGAGACCAGGGAAGAGGGGCGUGUCCCAGCCGGGAACUGGACUCACCUGGGCACCUUCCCGAGAGAGACCAGGGAAGAGGGGCGUGUCCGAGCCGGGAACCGGACUCACCUGGGCACCUUCCCGCGAGAGACCAGGGAAGAGGGGCGUGUCGAGCCGGGAAGUGGACUCACCUGGGCACCUUCCCGCAAGAGACCAGGGAAGAGGGGCGUGUCCCAGCCGGGAACUGGACUCACCUGGGCACCUUCCUGCCCUCCUCCCGACGCCCUCUCAGAAUGAGGCUCUCACUGUCUCGCUCCUAUCCCCACCCUCCUGUGGGGUGGGGGCCAACUCUCUCCACUUGUCUGAGUAGCAAUAGGUUCUGUCUCACUUGGGCAACUACAACAGAGUAACUGACUUGGGGCCUUAAACAACAGAAAUUUAUUUCUCACAGUUCUGGAAACCAGAGGUCAAGAUCAAGGAGCGGGCAGACUUGGUUCUGUGAGGGCCGGCUUCCUGGCUUGCAGACGAUGCCUUCCCAUGUCCCCACAUGGCACGAAGCAGAGAAAGGGACCCAGUGCUGGUCCUCUUCCAAGGGCUCCACCCUCCUGACCCAGUUGCCCCCAAAGGCCCCCUCUCCUAACACCAUCACACUGGAGUGAGGGUUUCAGCAUGUGGAUUCUGGGGACACAUCCAGUCCACGCAGGCCUGAGUGGCCGCCUGGUCUGCUGAAAGCCACUCAGCUCGGGCAGGCCCAUGGCGGCUGCCUGCGGGCCAUACUCUCUACAGCCCACACCAGCGCCGCCCUCUGCAGGGGCUGAGGCAGAUCCUGCUGGGUGCCGAGGGUGGCGCCCUCGUGUUUGCCGGAGGGUGUGGGGCAGCGGGCCGCCCUGGGAGCCUUGGGACUGGCCGGACUUCAGCUCUGUGCAGCCCCUGGUGUGCAGCUUGGAGAACCCAGCCUUUCUGAACCAUCCACCUGGUAUGGCGCUAGAUGACCUUGUCCUGGAUGUGGGGUGGGGAGGGCCGUGACAGCCCAUGGGCCUUGCCAAGGCUGGAUGGCCCCGCCCAAAGCCUACUGGACAUCUGGCCAAGCAAGGCCCUGGUGAGCGUGGGCAGGACGUCGGUGGGCGGGCAGCCAGGGCACAGAUGCAGCCUGCAUGGGCAGGACGUCUGGCCGCUCCGCUAGUCCUGAGCUCCAGCUGCCCAUGUCCUCUUGGGGUCUCCCCGGCAGCCCUUAGCCACACAAGCCCCAGGCCUGUGACUGAGGCCACAUCUGGCUGGAGGCUCCAGCGACGUCCAGCCCCAGGUCAAAGUGGCCAUCUGUCAUCUGACAGGUUGACAUGCACCUUCCUUGGGCUAGGUAGGGCUGUGAGUGUCUGUGCCCACCCCUCCCCCCACACCUUGUGCGCUCAGUGUGCAGUGGGGCAGCAGCGCCAGGCAAAACAGUUUCCCAUCGGGAUGAGGACCAGCUCCAGAGAAGGUGGGGAGGGGUCCCGGCGUCAGGGCCUCCCUGAGAAGACGCAGUGUCUGCCAUCCUGGUGAGCAGAGGAGACAGCAAAUGCAAGAGCUCCUUGCCUGCUCAGGGAUGUGGGGGUGGCCGUGUGCCCAGGAAGGGAGGACGGGGGCAGAGGGAUCGGUGGUCUUGGAGCAUGUGGCAGGGCCAGGUCUCAGGAGCGAGGAGGCCUUGAUGAGGAAAGCAUUUGGGUAGCGUCGAGGUGCCAGGGAGUCUGGAUGUGUAGAUCCACGGUGGGGCCUGGUCUCUCCCACGAGUGAGCAUGGCGCCUGCGUUCCUCACGAUAUAUCUGCCACAGAACGGGGACGAUUGCCACAGCUUCUCCAUUUGCCUGAAGGCGUAGGAGGGGGCGUGUGGGAGGCCACCUGUGACACCUGUGGACCAGAGAUGACAACAUAUGGGGUUUGGGGAUGCCACGGCACAGCAUCAAGCAGAGAGUUCCCUCGAGGGCCCAGAGCUACAGGUGGAUUUCUGCCCUUUCCGGAUGCCUCCGGAGCCACCGUAGCUCCCCAGCCGUCACAGCUGACCACGGGCUCCUCAAUUGACGGUAUUAUUGGUGGCUGGGAAGUACAAGUCAACUCCCUCAUGCAAUUAGCCGGCUUGCCAGGGGCUAGGGAAGCUUACUGAGAGCCUUGGUCCUUUAGAAAAAACUGUAAAUUAAAUUUUUAUUGACUUUAGUGUAAGAUGUUAAAACAAAUCAAUACUUUCAUAUCUUAAAUCUUUUCCUCACUCCCCUGCUCCCCCACAAGCGGAUAAAUACAGCCCUUCCUCCUCCUAAUAAUGUAAAAUUCCUUUGCGGGGGCUGGGCCUCCCUGUCUGGGGAGGCACCUCCUGUCGCCCAAAUUACAGAAUUAAACCCGUAGCAGCUCUGGCCCAGGUGAGAUGACUGAGAACCUGUCUUUCCUCAUCUCAUUUCCCCAAAUUAAAUGUUGUUCCUCCUCCAGGCCUCUGUGGGGUCGUCUGUUUUUCUGAAGAUGCAGUGACGGGGAAGCAGCUCCCUCCGUUUCCACCGGGAGGCACGGGCCCAGGUUCCGGGGAGAGGAUGGUGCUGGAGGUGCUGAAGGGACAGCGCCCACGUGGAAUCCGCUGCCGCCCUGGCCGCCUGGGCAAAGACCGACUGUCUCCUCCGCUGGAGCUGGGCACCACGUACGUCUGAAUUCUGCUCAUCCUCUCUGGAGUCCUGUCGAUGCGGUCUUGGCAAAGAUUGCUUGAGCCUGAACGCUUUUCCCAUCUAUUUUUACAUAAAUGGAAUUCCUCCUGCUUGGAUGAAAUUUACCCCAACUGGGCAUUUUCACGACCCACUUUGCCUGGGCACAGAGGAGGGGACAGGGGGCAGGCAUGCGGGUAACCAGAUUGCUGACAAUGUAGCCCGUGGGUGUGCAAGACACAAAAUUAAAAACAUAAAUGAUUAAUGAGCUAGCUCUUUGAAAGGACAUCCUAAACAAAGGAGGAAGCAAAGAUUUUCAAGCCUU
Gorilla gorilla gorilla (western lowland gorilla) is the source of this 9065-nucleotide RNA transcript. It is a transcript of the gene named collagen alpha-1(I) chain-like, with no coding region annotated. Lineage: Eukaryota; Metazoa; Chordata; Mammalia; Primates; Hominidae. The transcript has 3 exons. The record is from RefSeq and is a predicted model, not a curated record.